CCUACGGGUGGCAGCAGUAGGGAAUCUUUCACAAUGGGCGAAAGCCUGAUGGAGCAACGCCGCGUGCAGGAUGAAGGCCUUCGGGUUGUAAACUGCUUUUAUAAGCGAGAAAUAUGAUGGUAACUUAUGAAUAAGGAUCGGCUAACUACGUGCCAGCAGCCGCGGUCAUACGUAGGAUCCGAGCAUUAUCCGGAGUGACUGGGUGUAAAGAGUUGCGUAGGUGGCAUAAUAAGUAGCUAGUGAAAUCUGGUGGCUCAACCAUUCAGACUAUUAGCUAAACUGUUAAGCUCGAGACCGUUAGGGGUAACUGGAAUUUCUAGUGUAGGAGUGAAAUCCGUAGAUAUUAGAAGGAACACCAAUAGCGUAGGCAGGUUGCUGGGACGGUUCUGACACUAAGGCACGAAAGCGUGGGUAUCGAACAGGAUUAGAUACCCGUGUAGUC
Molecule: ribosomal RNA, 442 nt
Filed under: uncultured bacterium
Lineage: Bacteria
Description: partial 16S ribosomal RNA
Rfam family: Bacterial small subunit ribosomal RNA
Source: RNAcentral